AGUCCGUGAUGUGGGCAUUGCUGCAGUAGUCCUUUAAAUUGGUCCCAAGCUUCGAAAAGAGAUUCUCCAUCUUUUUGGGUAAAAUUUGUGAUUUGGUGACGGAGUGA
Molecule: small nucleolar RNA, 107 nt
Organism: Zingiber officinale
Lineage: Eukaryota; Viridiplantae; Streptophyta; Magnoliopsida; Zingiberales; Zingiberaceae
Source: RefSeq, a predicted model, not a curated record